UUACCCUGACCCUGUCGCUGCACAUUCAGCGAUCGGACUUGGCGGUCCGGUUA
RNAcentral lists this non-coding RNA (53 nucleotides) under Pseudomonas sp. M47T1. Lineage: Bacteria; Pseudomonadati; Pseudomonadota; Gammaproteobacteria; Pseudomonadales; Pseudomonadaceae. The record is from RNAcentral.